RNAcentral lists this ribosomal RNA (445 nucleotides) under uncultured bacterium. RNAcentral's name for it is "bacterial SSU rRNA". It matches the Rfam family "Bacterial small subunit ribosomal RNA", at positions 330 to 792 of the family's 1533-position model. The record is from RNAcentral.
ACCAGACUCCUACGGGAGGCAGCAGUGGGGAAUAUUGCGCAAUGGGGGAAACCCUGACGCAGCAACGCCGCGUGAGUGAGGAAGUAUCUCGGUAUGUAAAGCUCUAUCAGCGGGGAAGAAAGAGGACGGUACCCGACUAAGAAGCCCCGGCUAACUACGUGCCAGCAGCCGCGGUAAUACGUAGGGGGCGAGCGUUAUCCGGAUUUAUUGGGUUUAAAGGGUGCGCAGGCGGAUUUUUAAGCCAGCGGUCAAAUCGUGGGGCUCAACCCCAUCCAGCCGUUGAAACUGGGGAUCUAGAGUGUGCGAGAGGUAUGCGGAAUGCGUGGUGUAGCGGUGAAAUGCAUAGAUAUCACGCAGAACCCCGAUUGCGAAGGCAGCAUACCGGUGCACAACUGACGCUCAGGCACGAAAGCGUGGGUAUCGAACAGGAUUAGAUACCCGCGUA